This 465-nucleotide ribosomal RNA is filed under the name uncultured bacterium. Its description in RNAcentral is "partial 16S ribosomal RNA". It matches the Rfam family "Bacterial small subunit ribosomal RNA", at positions 338 to 795 of the family's 1533-position model. The record is from RNAcentral.
CCUACGUGCGGCAGCAGUAGGGAAUCUUCCACAAUGGGCGAAAGCCUGAUGGAGCAACGCCGCGUGGGUGAAGAAGGUCUUCGGAUCGUAAAACCCUGUUGUUAGAGAAGAAAGUGCGUGAGAGUAACUGUUCACGUUUCGACGGUAUCUAACCAGAAAGCCACGGCUAACUACGUGCCAGCAGCCGAGGUAAUACGUAGGUGGCAAGCGUUAUCCGGAUUUAUUGGGCGUAAAGGGAACGCAGGCGGUCUUUUAAGUCUGAUGAGAAAGCCUUCGGCUUAACCGGAGUAGUGCAUUGGAAACUGGGAGACUUGAGUGCAGAAGAGGAGAGUGGAACGCCAUGUGUAGCUGUGAAAUGCGUAGAUAUAUGGAAGAACACCAGUGGCGAAAGCGGCUCUCUGGUCUGUAACUGACGCUGAGGUUCGAAAGCGUGGGUAGCAAACAGGAUUAGACACCCGAGUAGUC